This 84-nucleotide transfer RNA is filed under the name Deltaproteobacteria bacterium. RNAcentral's name for it is "tRNA-Leu". It matches the Rfam family "tRNA". From Rfam's summary of the family: Transfer RNA (tRNA) molecules are approximately 80 nucleotides in length. Their secondary structure includes four short double-helical elements and three loops (D, anti-codon, and T loops). Lineage: Bacteria; Pseudomonadati; Myxococcota; Myxococcia. RNAcentral also lists the same sequence under 2 other names. The record is from RNAcentral.
GCCGAGGUGGCGGAACUGGCAGACGCAGAGGACUCAAAAUCCUCCGCCCGCGAGGGCUUAGGGGUUCGAUUCCCCUCCUCGGCA